Molecule: ribosomal RNA, 404 nt
Filed under: Fusobacteriota bacterium
Lineage: Bacteria; Fusobacteriati; Fusobacteriota
Description: Fusobacteria bacterium partial 16S ribosomal RNA
Rfam family: Bacterial small subunit ribosomal RNA
Source: RNAcentral
UGGGGAAUAUCGCACAAUGGAGGGAACUCUGAUGCAGCGACGCCGCGUGAGUGAUGAAGGAAUUCGUUUCGUAAAACUCUGUUCUAUGGGAAGAAAAGGACUGUACCAUAGCAGAAAGCUCCGGCUAAAUACGUGCCAGCAGCCGCGGUAAUACGUAUGGAGCGAGCGUUGUCCGGAAUUAUUGGGCGUAAAGGGUGCGCAGGCGGCUUUACAAGUUGGAUGUGAAAUAUUGUGGCUCAACCACAAACGUGCAUCCAAAACUGCAAAGCUUGAGUUAAGGAGAGGUAAGUGGAAUUCCUGGUGUAGCGGUGGAAUGCGUAGAUAUCAGGAGGAAUACCGGUGGCGAAGGCGACUUACUGGACUUAAACUGACGCUCAGGCACGAAAGCGUGGGGAGCAAACAGG